AGUAUUUUCAUUUCUGAGUCUCGAAGUUCCGCAUUUGCCGAUGCGAUAUGGUUUGCGGGCAUCUUUAGCCGCGGCGAUUUCAAGACCAUAUGGUCUGCGGGCAUCUUUUGCCGCGGCGAUUUCCAGACCAUAUGGUGUGCGGGCAUUUUUACCACUGACCCUUUCCUGCGCUUUAUCAGCCGAAACAAGGAAACAAUGAUCGAAGACAAUGCUGCAAUGGAAUGGACUGUGGUGGUGGGGAGGAAAAAGAAGAACAAUGCAUCUAGGUACAGAGAACCCCGGAAAAUUGAUACGGGUUCUUCUGACCAAACCCAAUAUUUAUCCAUGGCGGCCUACGCAUUUGAAGCAGGGGGAACUGAACCAGUUGACUCCGAUGAAGAUGACAAAAUAAUGAGUAGAAUGCGUAGUUCUCUGAAGAAGGUAGCUGAGUCGACCUUCUACAAGAAGCUUCUCGAGCAACUUCAGAGCCCUGAAGUGUUGAACAGUGUAAUGAGAGUGGUGGGAAUGGAUUCACAGCUUCAAAUGGUGGUGUAUGGAAUCGGGAGCAUUGGCGAUUCGGAGAGGUCACGCCUGCAAUUGUCUCUCGCACUUUUAUUGAAGCAGCGUUUCUGUUGGGUGGGUGAGAUAGAGGUGUUUGACCCAAUUGUGACUGCAUCGGAAUAUAGAGUUAUAAAGUCUCUAGGGUGCACUUUCGCCGAAAUCAAUGAGCAGGGGAGGCGAACAGUCAACAGGCCUACUCUGUUUUUCAUGCCUCACUGUGAGGCGUUUCUCUAUGACAAUGUGCUCCAAGUAAAUUGGAGUGCCCUGCUGUUGAACAGAAUUGUUUUCUUUGGCAACAGCUUUAACAGCUAUCUUGAGAACUCAUCUGUGUCUCGGAAUCCUCCUGGAUAUGUUUUGGCCAUUGCAGAGCAUGUCCAUGAGUUUGAAAUCCUGACUGUUUCUAGUGAUUUCUUUCCUGCAUUUAACAACAUGAGUUGGCAUUUCUUUCACUUGGAUCCUUCCUUGGAUCUUAAGACUUUGAAGAUAUAAGAAGAAACCCGCACCAGACCUCAUCCCUUUUACUUUCAGGCAAUUUGGGUGGGGCAGACAUCAAUUGAUAUGAAAUCUUGUUAGGCUGCAUUGUACAAACCAGGGGACUCUUGUACUGUUGUAUUCUUGUAAGAGAUCGGACUCUUGGUCAUGUCCAAAAGGAAUUACUUAAGAAUCCGAUUUGGUUGGCUCUAUGUUUAUAUAAUGACAUGGAUAUUUCUUCGAGCGAGCUUUCCACAUACUAAGAUGAGGAUUAGAAGCAUGACACACAUCUAUGGCCUUAAAUACAAUGUUCUUUGUUAGGAAGGUUUGAAUACAAUGUUAUUUGAAAUUUUCUCAUGUCUUAAAAUUUUCCCUAUUUUUUAGUAGCUGUCCCCUGUGCCUCCCAAAAAAGCUUUCUUAUAUAUGUUACCCUUCAAGCCCAUCCUAGAAACUUGGGGUAACAUAGAAAAUUUGUCGAAUUGCAUAUCGACUAUGGAAUUUUAGGUUUUGACUAAAAUAUUGACCCAAAAACAGAGUUCCCUUUACUAGAAAAUAUGAUUUGAGCUUCUAAUUGUGAAGUUGUUUAUAUCAUUAAUUCAAUAUGAGAGGUUGCAGACUG
Molecule: RNA transcript, 1630 nt
Organism: Cryptomeria japonica (Japanese cedar)
Lineage: Eukaryota; Viridiplantae; Streptophyta; Pinopsida; Cupressales; Cupressaceae
Gene name: protein SENSITIVITY TO RED LIGHT REDUCED 1
Exons: 3
Source: RefSeq, a predicted model, not a curated record